This 1483-nucleotide long non-coding RNA is filed under the name Ananas comosus (pineapple). Its description in RNAcentral is "long non-coding RNA (ACOM_LNC000703)". Lineage: Eukaryota; Viridiplantae; Streptophyta; Magnoliopsida; Poales; Bromeliaceae. The record is from RNAcentral.
CAUCAACACGAAUUCUUAAUUCGCUUAGACAUAAAGGCGACCUAGUCGCUUCGGUAAACCAACCCACCUUAACUCGCGCUCCGAUUGCUUGUCGACACUUGCAAUCGGCCUCCCGCGGCAACCGUUGCCCGGUUUGGCCCGAACUCUUGCGCGACUUAGCAAACGACCUCCGAACUGCGAUCCGUCUUCUCCGGAGUUUAUUCCUUGACUCCAAGGUGCUCCGGUUCCGAUCUCAUGAUUUUUAGACCUUUAUUCCGCGUGCUGCGGCUAUCUGUACCAAAAUCGACCGUUUCGUCAAUAACUUCGCGUACGCCCAUCGGAUUGCCGAACCGAGCGUACCAAUGCGUUCGUUAGGUCCCCAAUUAGGUUUCUACAAGGUCAAUUUGCCUUAGAAACAACCGGUGACAAAAGCCCCAAUUUUUGGUGCCCUAACAACACCAAGAUCAAAUCUCUUGGGAUUGAUCUCAUAGCUAAGCAUAAUCGAGCUUAGAAUCACCCAAGAAGNUAUCCUUUACACAACCUAAGUUAUUACUUUAGGUUUAUUGCUUUCACAUUCUUAACCUAGGUUUACUACACUAGGAUCAUUAUUCCUUUCCAACCUAGGUUCACUUGACUCUAGGUUAAGCAGCUUUCCUUUCACAACCUAUGUUCUUUACAUUAGGUUUAACAUCACUCUUAGUUAACCUAUGUUCUUUACAUUAGGUUUUAUGCCACUCGAUCUAUAGGUUGAUUCAUGUCCACCUAUAUAUAUUCCUUAUUUAGCAUUCUCAACAUGUACUUGCACGUACUAUUCUUAUAUCAUGCUUAUCACUUAUACUUUAGCAUAGCAUCAUUUACUUAAUCAUUCUAGGGUUAUCAACCUAGUUUCCAUGCACAUUUAAUCUCACGAUGUCAACAUGCAUUCUAUCCAUCAUGCUCACAUGCAUUCAUGUAAUUAUGUAGCAUUAUAUAACUUGUUCAUUAUGCAUUCUAUAUCUCAUCUUAACUUAUGUCAUCAAUAUGCAUUUCAUUCUAUGCAUUAUGCUUACAUGCACCCUUCUAGUUUACAUGCAUAUAUAUAUAUAUAAUCUUUUAUAUGCAUCUACUUUAGCAUUUACAUCAUAUCAUGCAUUACUAGCAUUACUUUAUCAUCAUGCAUCACUAGCAUUAUGCAACUUGCUCACUAUGCAUUUCCACUUGGCAUUUACAUUAACAUGCAUUGUUUAACACUUAUAUGCAUCAACACGAAUUCUUAAUUCGCUUAGACAUAAAGGCGACCUAGUCGCUUCGGUAAACCAACCCACCUUAACACGCGCUCCGAUUGCUUGUAGUCACUUGCAAUCGGCCUCCCGCGGCAACCGUUGCCCGGUUUGGCCCGAACUCUUGCGCGACUUCCAAACGACCUCCGAACCGCGAUCCGUCUUUUCCGGAGUUUAUUCCUUGACUCCAAGGUGCUCCAGUUCCGAUCUCAUGAUUUUUAGACCUUUAUUCCGCAUGCUGCGGC